CCCUUAGAUGUUCUGGGCUGCACGCGCGCUACACUGAUGCACUCAUCGAGUUUAUGACCUUGUCCGAGAGGAUUGGGUAAUCUUCUUAAAAUGCAUCGUGAUGGGGAUAGAUUAUUGCAAUUAUUAAUCUUCAACGAGGAAUUCCUAGUAAGCGCGAGUCAUCAGCUCGUGCUGAUUACGUCCCUGCCCUUUGUACACACCGCCCGUUGCUCCUACCGAUUGAGUGAUCCGGUGAAUAAUUCGGACUGCAGCAAUGUUUGGAUCCCGAACAUUGCAGUGGAAAGUUUAGUGAACCUUAUCACUUAGAGGAAGGAGAANUCGUANCA
This 326-nucleotide ribosomal RNA is filed under the name uncultured eukaryote. RNAcentral describes it as "partial 18S ribosomal RNA". It matches the Rfam family "Eukaryotic small subunit ribosomal RNA", at positions 1470 to 1796 of the family's 1831-position model. The record is from RNAcentral.